UAAGGAAUAUUGGUCAAUGGACGCAAGUCUGAACCAGCCAUGCCGCGUGAAGGAUGAAGGUCCUCUGGAUUGUAAACUUCUUUUAUCUGGGACGAAAACGGGAUUUUUAUCUCAAUUGACGGUACCAGAGGAAUAAGCACCGGCUAACUCCGUGCCAGCAGCCGCGGUAAUACGGAGGGUGCGAGCGUUAUCCGGAUUUACUGGGUUUAAAGGGUGCGUAGGUGGGCUUAUAAGUCAGUGGUGAAAUCUCCGAGCUUAACUUGGAAACUGCCGUUGAUACUAUAGGUCUUGAAUUAUCUGGAGGUGAGCGGAAUAUCUCAGGUAGCAGUGAAAUGCUUAGAUAUUACAUAGAACACCAAUUGCGAAGGCAGCUUACUACAUAUAAAUUGACGCUGAGGCACGAAAG
Molecule: ribosomal RNA, 406 nt
Filed under: uncultured bacterium
Lineage: Bacteria
Description: bacterial SSU rRNA
Rfam family: Bacterial small subunit ribosomal RNA
Source: RNAcentral